This 208-nucleotide ribosomal RNA is filed under the name uncultured bacterium. Its description in RNAcentral is "partial 16S ribosomal RNA". It matches the Rfam family "Bacterial small subunit ribosomal RNA", at positions 568 to 775 of the family's 1533-position model. The record is from RNAcentral.
CGCGUAGGCGGCUUCUCAAGCGUGCGGUGAAAGCUCGGGGCUUAACUCCGAGUCUGCCGUGCGAACUGGGAGGCUUGAGUCUGGUAGAGGUCGAUGGAAUUCCGGGUGUAGCGGUGGAAUGCGUAGAGAUCCGGAAGAACACCGGUGGCGAAGGCGGUCGACUGGGCCAGAACUGACGCUGAGGCGCGACAGCGUGGGGAGCAAACAG